RNAcentral lists this ribosomal RNA (2148 nucleotides) under Salmonella enterica subsp. enterica serovar Oslo. Its description in RNAcentral is "partial 23S ribosomal RNA". It matches the Rfam family "Bacterial large subunit ribosomal RNA", at positions 711 to 2844 of the family's 2925-position model. Lineage: Bacteria; Pseudomonadati; Pseudomonadota; Gammaproteobacteria; Enterobacterales; Enterobacteriaceae. The record is from RNAcentral.
AGACCCGAAACCCGGUGAUCUAGCCAUGGGCAGGUUGAAGGUUGGGUAACACUAACUGGAGGACCGAACCGACUAAUGUUGAAAAAUUAGCGGAUGACCUGUGGCUGGGGGUGAAAGGCCAAUCAAACCGGGAGAUAGCUGGUUCUCCCCGAAAGCUAUUUAGGUAGCGCCUCGUGAAUUCAUCUCCGGGGGUAGAGCACUGUUUCGGCUAGGGGGCCAUCCCGGCUUACCAACCCGAUGCAAACUGCGAAUACCGGAGAAUGUUAUCACGGGAGACACACGGCGGGUGCUAACGUCCGUCGUGAAGAGGGAAACAACCCAGACCGCCAGCUAAGGUCCCAAAGUCAUGGUUAAGUGGGAAACGAUGUGGGAAGGCCCAGACAGCCAGGAUGUUGGCUUAGAAGCAGCCAUCAUUUAAAGAAAGCGUAAUAGCUCACUGGUCGAGUCGGCCUGCGCGGAAGAUGUAACGGGGCUAAACCAUGCACCGAAGCUGCGGCAGCGACGCUCAGGCGUUGUUGGGUAGGGGAGCGUUCUGUAAGCCUGUGAAGGUGGCCUGUGAGGGUUGCUGGAGGUAUCAGAAGUGCGAAUGCUGACAUAAGUAACGAUAAAGCGGGUGAAAAGCCCGCUCGCCGGAAGACCAAGGGUUCCUGUCCAACGUUAAUCGGGGCAGGGUGAGUCGACCCCUAAGGCGAGGCCGAAAGGCGUAGUCGAUGGGAAACGGGUUAAUAUUCCCGUACUUGGUGUUACUGCGAAGGGGGGACGGAGAAGGCUAUGUUGGCCGGGCGACGGUUGUCCCGGUUUAAGCGUGUAGGUGUGUGUUCCAGGUAAAUCCGGUUCACUUUAACACUGAGGCGUGACGACGAGGCACUACGGUGCUGAAGCAACAAAUGCCCUGCUUCCAGGAAAAGCCUCUAAGCAUCAGGUAACAUCAAAUCGUACCCCAAACCGACACAGGUGGUCAGGUAGAGAAUACCAAGGCGCUUGAGAGAACUCGGGUGAAGGAACUAGGCAAAAUGGUGCCGUAACUUCGGGAGAAGGCACGCUGACACGUAGGUGAAGUGAUUUACUCAUGGAGCUGAAGUCAGUCGAAGAUACCAGCUGGCUGCAACUGUUUAUUAAAAACACAGCACUGUGCAAACACGAAAGUGGACGUAUACGGUGUGACGCCUGCCCGGUGCCGGAAGGUUAAUUGAUGGGGUCAGCGCAAGCGAAGCUCCUGAUCGAAGCCCCGGUAAACGGCGGCCGUAACUAUAACGGUCCUAAGGUAGCGAAAUUCCUUGUCGGGUAAGUUCCGACCUGCACGAAUGGCGUAAUGAUGGCCAGGCUGUCUCCACCCGAGACUCAGUGAAAUUGAACUCGCUGUGAAGAUGCAGUGUACCCGCGGCAAGACGGAAAGACCCCGUGAACCUUUACUAUAGCUUGACACUGAACAUUGAGCCUUGAUGUGUAGGAUAGGUGGGAGGCUUUGAAGCGUGGACGCCAGUCUGCGUGGAGCCGACCUUGAAAUACCACCCUUUAAUGUUUGAUGUUCUAACGUGGACCCGUUACCCGGGUUGCGGACAGUGUCUGGUGGGUAGUUUGACUGGGGCGGUCUCCUCCUAAAGAGUAACGGAGGAGCACGAAGGUUGGCUAAUCCUGGUCGGACAUCAGGAGGUUAGUGCAAUGGCAUAAGCCAGCUUGACUGCGAGCGUGACGGCGCGAGCAGGUGCGAAAGCAGGUCAUAGUGAUCCGGUGGUUCUGAAUGGAAGGGCCAUCGCUCAACGGAUAAAAGGUACUCCGGGGAUAACAGGCUGAUACCGCCCAAGAGUUCAUAUCGACGGCGGUGUUUGGCACCUCGAUGUCGGCUCAUCACAUCCUGGGGCUGAAGUAGGUCCCAAGGGUAUGGCUGUUCGCCAUUUAAAGUGGUACGCGAGCUGGGUUUAGAACGUCGUGAGACAGUUCGGUCCCUAUCUGCCGUGGGCGCUGGAGAACUGAGGGGGGCUGCUCCUAGUACGAGAGGACCGGAGUGGACGCAUCACUGGUGUUCGGGUUGUCAUGCCAAUGGCACUGCCCGGUAGCUAAAUGCGGAAGAGAUAAGUGCUGAAAGCAUCUAAGCACGAAACUUGCCCCGAGAUGAGUUCUCCCUGAGACUUUAAGUCUCCUGAAGGA